RNAcentral lists this ribosomal RNA (1346 nucleotides) under uncultured bacterium. RNAcentral's name for it is "partial 16S ribosomal RNA". It matches the Rfam family "Bacterial small subunit ribosomal RNA", at positions 28 to 1381 of the family's 1533-position model. The record is from RNAcentral.
GACGAACGCUGGCGGCGUGCUUAACACAUGCAAGUCGAACGGAAAGGCCCUGCUUUUGUGGGGUGCUCGAGUGGCGAACGGGUGAGUAACACGUGAGUAACCUGCCCUUGACUUUGGGAUAACUUCAGGAAACUGGGGCUAAUACCGGAUAGGAGCUCCUGCUGCAUGGUGGGGGUUGGAAAGUUUCGGCGGUUGGGGAUGGACUUGCGGCUUAUCAGCUUGUUGGUGGGGUAGUGGCUUACCAAGGCUUUGACGGGUAGCCGGCCUGAGAGGGUGACCGGCCACAUUGGGACUGAGAUACGGCCCAGACUCCUACGGGAGGCAGCAGUGGGGAAUAUUGCACAAUGGGCGGAAGCCUGAUGCAGCAACGCCGCGUGCGGGAUGACGGCCUUCGGGUUGUAAACCGCUUUCGCCUGUGACGAAGCGUGAGUGACGGUAAUGGGUAAAGAAGCACCGGCUAACUACGUGCCAGCAGCCGCGGUGAUACGUAGGGUGCGAGCGUUGUCCGGAUUUAUUGGGCGUAAAGGGCUCGUAGGUGGUUGAUCGCGUCGGAAGUGUAAUCUUGGGGCUUAACCCUGAGCGUGCUUUCGAUACGGGUUGACUUGAGGAAGGUAGGGGAGAAUGGAAUUCCUGGUGGAGCGGUGGAAUGCGCAGAUAUCAGGAGGAACACCAGUGGCGAAGGCGGUUCUCUGGGCCUUUCCUGACGCUGAGGAGCGAAAGCGUGGGGAGCGAACAGGCUUAGAUACCCUGGUAGUCCACGCUGUAAACGGUGGGUGCUAGGUGUGGGGUCCAUUCCACGGGUUCCGUGCCGUAGCUAACGCUUUAAGUACCCCGCCUGGGGAGUACGGCCGCAAGGCUAAAACUCAAAGGAAUUGACGGGGCCCCGCACAAGCGGCGGAGCAUGCGGAUUAAUUCGAUGCAACGCGUAGAACCUUACCUGGGUUUGACAUGGAUCGGGAGUGCUCAGAGAUGGGUGUGCCUCUUUUGGGGUCGGUUCACAGGUGGUGCAUGCCUGUCGUCAGCUCGUGUCGUGAGAUGUUGGGUUAAGUCCCGCAACGAGCGCAACCCUUGUUCACUGUUGCCAGCACGUUAUGGUGGGGACUCAGUGGAGACCGCCGGGGUCAACUCGGAGGAAGGUGGGGAUGACGUCAGGUCAUCAUGCCCCUUAUGUCCAGGGCUUCACGCAUGCUACAAUGGCUGGUACAGAGAGUGGCGAGCCUGUGAGGGUGAGCGAAUCUCGGAAAGCCGGUCUCAGUUCGGAUUGGGGUCUGCAACUCGACCUCAUGAAGUCGGAGUCGCUAGUAAUCGCAGAUCAGCAACGCUGCGGUGAAUACGUUCCCGGGGCU